ACGCACGCUGGCGGCGUGCUUCACCCAUGCCAGUCGCACGGAAAGGCCCUGCUUUUGUGGGGUGCUCGAGUGGCGAACGGGUGAGUAACACGGGAGUAACCUGCCCUUGACUUUGGGAUAACUUCAGGAAACUGGGGCUAAUACCGGAUAGGAGCUCCUGCUGCAUGGGGGGGUUGGAAAGUUUCGGCGGUUGGGGAUGGACUCGCGGCUUAUCAGCUUGUUGGUGGGGUAGUGGCUUACCAAGGCUUUGACGGGUAGCCGGCCUGAGAGGGUGACCGGCCACAUUGGGACUGAGAUACGGCCCAGACUCCUACGGGAGGCAGCAGUGGGGAAUAUUGCACAAUGGGCGGAAGCCUGAUGCAGCAACGCCGCGUGCGGGAUGACGGCCUUCGGGUUGUAAACCGCUUUCGCCUGUGACGAAGCGUGAGUGACGGUAAUGGGUAAAGAAGCACCGGCUAACUACGUG
This 466-nucleotide ribosomal RNA is filed under the name uncultured bacterium. Its description in RNAcentral is "partial 16S ribosomal RNA". It matches the Rfam family "Bacterial small subunit ribosomal RNA", at positions 29 to 507 of the family's 1533-position model. The record is from RNAcentral.